CUGAUUCUAAUAAUCCUCCCCUGCUCCUUUGCGUGGUUCGUUUGGUCAGCAUGGUCGACGCGUGUGAAGUCUGGUGGCUUCGUGUGACAUCCCCAGCAGUGCUUAGCGAUGCGUGCACAAACCCUUCUGGUGUGCUUACACAUGGUCUAUUUUUAUCCUUUGUAAAAGCCUGAAUCUCCAUCUCGUUUUCAGUUUAUCUUGCACAAAGCAAGUCUCCCAGAUACCACGCGCCCGAGCGGCGAGAGCGCUCCGCCAGGGAUCUGAAGCAGCAGUAGAGCAGCGGGACCUCGCCGGACGCAGCAGCUCCACCACAACAAUGGCGCCGCCCUCGUGGAACAUGGAAGCAGCGGCUCACUCUUGCGGCGGCGACGUGUCCUUCCAGUGCUCCCCCUUGCGGCCUCCCCGGACUUGGUCUUCGCUUGGUGUUGGCAGACAAACGAGCAGGGGCAUCUCCCGCACUGGCCUCCCCCGUAUGUGCGCAGCUGGCUGCUCCCUCGAGUCCAGCAGUGGUCGCGAGGCGAUGCGAGCAGCAGCUCAGACGCACGCAGUGCCUCCCUGUCAGCCCGAGACGCCGCCCGAGCGGGAGGCACCGGCGGACCGGAGAGGCGAGCAGCAGCACGCCCCAGCAGCAGCACCGGGUGGCAGCAGCAUCACGCCCAGGACAGGGGCGCACGGAAGGUGCGGUGCGACGAGGCUGUAGUUAGGGGGGGCAACAAUUCUCGGCCGCAUCCAUGCGCAGCCGCCGUGGCGUGCUCCUACUCGUGCGGCUGGUCCAUGGCCGUCGGCGCAUGGCAGGGUAGGGGCGGCAGCAGUUCUAGGCCACAACCAUGGCCGACGGCGCGCGGCAUGCUCCUACUGGCGCGGCCGAUGCGGGCGAGAGAAGAGAGGAAUCGGGAGAGGUGCUCACGGGCAGCGCAACUCAUCUCCUCGGUGACCAAGGGGCUCGCUGGGGCGGCGGGGAAGGCCGGCUGCAGGGCAAAUAGGUAGAGGGCGCCGAGGGGAUCCGUUCUCGUGAGCGGCAUCCCGGGGAAGGCGCUAGAGUUGGCCGGAAUCGGGCGGUCAAUGGAAGGACGGGUUGUCGCCGCCAUUGAAGCAAGGGGAUCGAAGGUUGAGGAGGUCCUCUAUCUAGGAUCUAGGACCAGCGCGGACGUAACAACGACGCUCCCAAGCUCGGGCGCACCACUGCAGGGCGGAGGGCCGACGAGGGCCAGGCGGCGACAGUAACGCCGGGGAGGGCAUGAGUGAGUCCUGCGCCGCCGCGGCUGGAGAGGGAGUGUCUGACUAACAUAGAGGAAAGGAGCUCGGGUUGAAUUCUAAUAAAUCCAGGGGUUAACCGAAUCGUUUUGUAGAUUUCAUUUAAAGAGGGAGUGCGGUUACAAUUUUCA
This is a long non-coding RNA of Triticum aestivum (bread wheat), 1385 nucleotides long. RefSeq lists it as uncharacterized. The record is from RefSeq and is a predicted model, not a curated record. NCBI's taxonomy places the organism in Eukaryota, Viridiplantae, Streptophyta, Magnoliopsida, Poales, Poaceae. The transcript has 2 exons.